Molecule: non-coding RNA, 1007 nt
Organism: Macaca mulatta (Rhesus monkey)
Lineage: Eukaryota; Metazoa; Chordata; Mammalia; Primates; Cercopithecidae
Source: RefSeq, a predicted model, not a curated record
AAAAAAAACGUAUCUAUAGCUGUAGCUUUUGUUGAAAAGUCUGACAAUCUAGCAGGAGUUGGCCUGCCUUUCUUCAUAGCAAUAGCUUCUGGGGCUGAGUAGCACCGCCAUCUUUAGACAAGAGCAUGAGUGCCAGGGUUCUCCCAGAUCUGCCUUGGCCAGUUUAGCUCAUUGCUUGCCUUGACCCAGUAGAUAUUUAAGUUUGCCGUAGCUGGGCUGACGUAUAAAAAUCCAUACAUAACCUUAUGAGAUGGAGCAGGGAGUCCCUUUUUGGUGAUCUGCAUGCCCCCCACUUUCCCAGGCAUAGAAAUAAAAUAAAAUCUUGAGUUUCUUCAAGGGAAGCUAGCCAUGAAAAGUACAUAAAUAACUUGUUAUGCAAGAAGGUAAUACCUAAAACAAUAGCCAAGGAGUAGGGUCCAGAGAUAUUUGGUUUUCCUAUUGAAACUAAAGAUAAUAUCUUAACAUAUGUCUCUGAGUUAUCUUUCAGAAACUGGAUUUCCCCACCGAGGACCCCCACCAAAUAUAUCCAGAUCUGCUGGCACACAGACCUCAGAUAAGGAGGAGCUGAAAACUGAACUCUGACCAUUGUUCUUUGUUCUAAAUUUCUUCCGGUGGGGCUUGGAGGGAAUCACACCCCAGAGCCAGUCAACAUUUUUUUUUCUUCUGCUGAAUCCACAUUUUUAAGCAAAGCUUCUCUUCCUUAACCAGUUGCAAAUCAGAAAACCUUUGAAUCCACCGACAACCUAUAUGCAGCAUGUUGGGACGACCAAGUAGAAGCCAGACAUGGAGAGAGAAGAGAGAAUGAAAAGUAUCUGAGAUGGUGACAUGUCCCAGCAGGCUGUGAUUCAGCUAACUUGCAGUGAAUGAAAGACAAUAAGAAGCAGAGAGCCAAGAAGUAGCAUCAACAACAGAACUAACUUAAACCUAAGAAUCAACUGACAAGACAUUAAGCUGAUCAUUCAUCACCCUCAGGAACCUCAUUUAAGCUUUCUGAGCUUCAUUGCAUU